Molecule: ribosomal RNA, 429 nt
Filed under: Chloroflexota bacterium
Lineage: Bacteria; Bacillati; Chloroflexota
Also listed under: 1 other name
Description: Chloroflexi bacterium partial 16S ribosomal RNA
Rfam family: Bacterial small subunit ribosomal RNA
Source: RNAcentral
UAGGGAAUCUUCGGCAAUGGACGAAAGUCUGACCGAGCAACGCCGCGUGAGUGAAGAAGGUUUUCGGAUCGUAAAACUCUGUUGUUAGAGAAGAACAAGGACGUUAGUAACUGAACGUCCCCUGACGGUAUCUAACCAGAAAGCCACGGCUAACUACGUGCCAGCAGCCGCGGUAAUACGUAGGUGGCAAGCGUUGUCCGGAUUUAUUGGGCGUAAAGCGAGCGCAGGCGGUUUCUUAAGUCUGAUGUGAAAGCCCCCGGCUCAACCGGGGAGGGUCAUUGGAAACUGGGAGACUUGAGUGCAGAAGAGGAGAGGGGAAUUCCAUGUGUAGCGGUGAAAUGCGUAGAUAUAUGGAGGAACACCAGUGGCGAAGGCGGCUCUCUGGUCUGUAACUGACGCUGAGGCUCGAAAGCGUGGGGAGCAAACAGG